GGCGGCAUAGCCAAGUGGUAAGGCAGCGGCCUGCAAAGCCGUUAUCCAUCAGUUCGAAUCUGAUUGCCGCCUCCA
This 75-nucleotide transfer RNA is filed under the name Pseudomonadota bacterium. RNAcentral's name for it is "Proteobacteria bacterium tRNA-Cys". It matches the Rfam family "tRNA". Rfam says of the family: Transfer RNA (tRNA) molecules are approximately 80 nucleotides in length. Their secondary structure includes four short double-helical elements and three loops (D, anti-codon, and T loops). RNAcentral also lists the same sequence under 1 other name. Lineage: Bacteria; Pseudomonadati; Pseudomonadota. The record is from RNAcentral.